GAUGAAGAACGUAGCGAAAUGCGAUAAGUAGUGUGAAUUGCAGAAUUCAGUGAAUCAUCGAAUCUUUGAACGCACAUUGCGCCUCCUGGUAUUCCAGGGAGCAUGCCUGUUCGAGCGUCAUUUAACCCCUCAAGCCUAGCUUGGUAUUGGGUGCUUGUCCCGCCUCUCGCGCGGCGACUCACCUCAAAGUCAUUGGCAGCCCGCAUCUCGCCGGCCGUGAGCGCAGCACAGACGCGCUCUUGGCAACGACGGAUCGGCUCUCCAAAAGCUUAUUUCAACCACUGACCUCGGAUCAGGUAGGGAUACCCGCUGAACUUAAGCAUAUCAAUAAGCGGAGGA
Molecule: unclassified non-coding RNA, 339 nt
Filed under: soil metagenome
Description: partial contains 5.8S ribosomal RNA, internal transcribed spacer 2, and large subunit ribosomal RNA
Rfam family: 5.8S ribosomal RNA (bases 1-120)
Source: RNAcentral